AGUCCACCACGUAAGGACACAGCAAGAAGGCACCAUCUAUGAACCAGGAAGCAAAACAGUCCUCAUCAGGCACCAAUCUGCUGGCACCUUGAUCUCGGACUUCCCAGCCUCCAGAACUGUGAGCAAUAAAUUUGUUGUUUUUAAGCCGCCCAGUCUGUGAUGUUUUGUUUUAGCAUCCCAGACUAAGUAAGGGUUUAAAAGAGGUGAUUAAGUUAAAAUGAGGUCAUCAGGGUGCACCCCAGUCCGACAUAGCUGAUGUCCUUAUAAGAAGAGGAAAUUAGGACACAGACAUAUGCCAUGUGAAGACGCAGGGAGAAUGUGACAUCUGCAAGCCAAGGAGAGAGGCUGCAGGAGAAACCAGCUCUGCUGACACUUUGAUCUCAAGCUCUGGCCACCAGAACUGUGAGCAAAUAAGUGUCUGUUGUUUAGGGCACCCUGUCCAUGGCACCUUGCUCCGAUAGCCCCAGGAAACGAAUCCACAGAGGAGGAAGCCGAGGUUGGGAAAGGUGGAGGGACUUGCCCAAGUCACACAAACGACAACUCAGCAGAGCUGAGAAUUGGCACCCAGGGCAACUGGAGUCCAUCCUGAGCUUGUCACUGCUGGGCUCUGAGACCUCCUGGUGAAGAAGGACAGUGGCAGAGACAGCCCGACCCAGAGAAACCCAGCAACGCUACUUUCUAAGGGCAUUUUUCCCUCUCAUUUGGAAUCCUGAGCCUCCUGCUCGUCCUGUAGGCCACACCCAGCAAACAGGGCCACACAGAGCAUCUAUUUUCUUUCUGGAACAUCAGAGCUGGCUGGGAACUGGGAGAAGAGCUGGAGCAACAGCCUGCAUCCAUUUCCUCUUGCUGCAAUAACAACUGAUCACAAGAUGGAGUCUCACUCUGUCAACCAGGCUGGAGUGCACUGGCGCAAUCUCGGCUCACUGCAGUCACCUCCUCUCAGGUUCAAGUGAUUCUCCUGCCUCUGCCUCCUGAGUAGCUGGGAUUACAGGUGCAUGCCACCACGCUCUGCUAAUUUUUGUAUUUUUAGUAGAGACGGGGUUUCACCGUGUUGGCCAGGCUGGUCUGGAACUCCUGACCUCAGGUGAUCCGGCUGCCUCAGCCUCCCAAAGUACUGGGAUUACAGGCAUGAGCCACCACACCUUGCCACAAAUGUGGUUUUUAAAUGUGGUUUUUAAAAAUAUCUUGAUAGCCAUA
RNAcentral lists this long non-coding RNA (1197 nucleotides) under Homo sapiens (human). RNAcentral's name for it is "novel transcript". The record is from RNAcentral. Lineage: Eukaryota; Metazoa; Chordata; Mammalia; Primates; Hominidae.